RNAcentral lists this ribosomal RNA (506 nucleotides) under uncultured bacterium. RNAcentral describes it as "partial 16S ribosomal RNA". It matches the Rfam family "Bacterial small subunit ribosomal RNA", at positions 29 to 523 of the family's 1533-position model. The record is from RNAcentral.
AUUGAACGCUGGCGGCAGGCCUAACACAUGCAAGUCGGACGGUAGCACAGAGGAGCUUGCUCCUUGGGUGACGAGUGGCGGACGGGUGAGUAAUGUCUGGGGAUCUGCCCGAUAGAGGGGGAUAACCACUGGAAACGGUGGCUAAUACCGCAUAACGUCGCAAGACCAACGAGGGGGACCUUGGGGCCUCACAAUAUCGGAAGAACCCAGAUGGGAUUAGCUAGUAGGCGGGGUAAUGGCCCACCUAGGCGACGAGCCCUAGCUGGUCUGAGAGGAUGACCAGCCACACUGGAACUGAGACACGGUCCAGACUCCUACGGGAGGCAGCAGUGGGGAAUAUUGCACAAUGGGCGCAAGCCUGAUGCAGCCAUGCCGCGUGUAUGAAGAAGGCCUUCGGGUUGUAAAGUACUUUCAGCGGGGAGGAAGGCGGUGAGGUUAAUAACCUCGCCGAUUGACGUUACCCGCAGAAGAAGCACCGGCUAACUCCGUGCCAGCCGCCGCGGUAA